CAGAAGAAGCACCGGCCAACUACGUGCCAGCAGCGCGGUAAUACGUAGGGUGCGGGCGUGUCCGGAAUUAUUGGGCGUAAAGGGCUCGUAGGCGGUUUGUCGCGUCGGGAGUGAAAACGCCGUGCUUAACACGGCGCUUGCUCCGAUACGGGCAGACUAGAGGUAUUCAGGGGAGAACGGAAUUCCUGGUGUAGCGGUGAAAUGCGCAGAUAUCAGGAGGAACACCGGUGGCGAAGGCGGUUCUCUGGGAAUGACCUGACGCUGAGGAGCGAAAGUGUGGGGAGCGAACAGGAUUAGAUACCCUGGUAGUCCACACCGUAAACGUUGGGCGCUAGGUGUGGGGUCCAUUCCACGGAUUCCGUGCCGCAGCUAACGCAUUAAGCGCCCCGCCUGGGGAGUACGGCCGCAAGGCUAAAACUCAAAGGAAUUGACGGGGGCCCGCACAAGCGGCGGAGCAUGCGGAUUAAUUCGAUGCAACGCGAAGAACCUUACCUGGGUUUGACAUACACCCUGCCGCCUCAGAGAUGGGGCUUCUUUUGGGGGUGUACAGGUGGUGCAUGGCUGUCGUCAGCUCGUGUCGUGAGAUGUUGGGUUAAGUCCCGCAACGAGCGCAACCCUCGUUCUAUGUUGCCAGCACGUAAUGGUGGGGACUCAUAGGAGACUGCCGGGGUCAACUCGGAGGAAGGUGGGGAUGACGUCAAGUCAUCAUGCCCCUUAUGUCCAGGGCUUCACGCAUGCUACAAUGGCCGGUACAAAGGGCUGCGAUCCCGUAAGGGGGAGCGAAUCCCAAAAAGCCGGUCUCAGUUCGGAUUGGGGUCUGCAACUCGACCCCAUGAAGUCGGAGUCGCUAGUAAUCGCAGAUCAGCAACGCUGCGGUGAAUACGUUCCCGGGCCUUGUACACACCGCCCGUCACGUCACGAAAGUCGGCAACACCCGAAGCCGGUGGCCCAACCCUUGUGGAGGGAGCCGUCGAAGGUGGGGCUGGA
Molecule: ribosomal RNA, 987 nt
Filed under: uncultured Actinomycetes bacterium
Lineage: Bacteria; Bacillati; Actinomycetota; Actinomycetes
Description: bacterial SSU rRNA
Rfam family: Bacterial small subunit ribosomal RNA
Source: RNAcentral